Molecule: RNA transcript, 2605 nt
Organism: Balaenoptera ricei (Rice's whale)
Lineage: Eukaryota; Metazoa; Chordata; Mammalia; Artiodactyla; Balaenopteridae
Gene: MTPAP
Gene name: mitochondrial poly(A) polymerase
Exons: 14
Source: RefSeq, a predicted model, not a curated record
GCGGAAGCCCGGCGCCCUUUCGUCCGUGUUCCUGCCGCUUUGAUAAUGGCGGCUCGUGGCUUGGGGCUGUUGACCAGUUUGCCCCUCCGUGCUCAGAGAAGUCAAGUCCAGCGUCCUCUCCGCAGGCUUCUCAGUUGCCCAGGAACGGUGGUCGCAGCCCUCGGGAAGGAAGAGCAGUCCUCGGGGAGCGCGGAGACAGGCUCUGAAGACAGGACUCCAAAAAAGAGAUUCUCUGAGGUGCAGAAAGAGAGACGAGAACAGGCCCAGCGGACUGUGUUAAUCCACUGCCCAAAUAAAAUCAGCGAGAAGAAGUUUCUCAAGUACUUAUCCCAGCAUGGACCUGUUAACAGCCACUUCUUCUAUGAAAGCUUUGGUCUUUAUGCUGUUGUAGAAUUUAGUCAGAAGGAAAGCGUAGCUUCACUGCAGAAUGUAACUCGUACUCCAAGCCUGGGCACAGAGGCUGCAAUUCCAUUCAGAUCACGUUACUUCAAUUUAAAGUUGAAGACUCCAUUAAACCAGACUUCUGAACAGUCAGGUAUUCAAUGCAGGAAUCAGUCUUCUCCUUCAAGCAAGAAGCUUUUUGAAUUACUUUGUUGUGCAGAAAGUGUAGAUGAUCAGCUGAACACUCUCUUGAGGGAAUUCCAGCUAACAGAGGAGAACAGCAAGCUCCGGUAUCUCACCUGCUCUCUUAUUGAAGAUGUAGCAGCUGCGUAUUUUCCGGGCUGCACCGUCAGACCCUUUGGCUCUUCAGUGAACAGCUUUGGAAAAUUAGGAUGUGAUUUGGACAUGUUUUUGGAUCUAGAUGAAAUUGAAAACUUUAGUACUCACAAGGCCUCAGGAAAUUUUCUGAUGGAAUUUCAAGUGAAAAAUGUUCCUUCGGAAAGAAUUGCAACACAGAAGAUCCUGUCUGUGAUAGGAGAAUGCCUUGACCACUUUGGCCCGGGCUGUGUGGGAGUACAGAAAAUACUAAAUGCUCGGUGUCCCCUUGUCCGGUUCUCACACCAGGCCUCUGGAUUUCAGUGUGACUUGACUACUAACAAUAGGAUUGCCUUGAAGAGUUCUGAACUCCUUUAUAUAUAUGGUGCCCUGGACUCCCGAGUGAGAGCCUUGGUGUUCAGUAUCCGAUGCUGGGCUCGAGCACAUUCAUUAACGAGUAGUAUUCCUGGUGCUUGGAUUACAAAUUUCUCCCUUACCGUGAUGGUCAUCUUUUUUCUCCAGAGGAGAUCACCCCCUAUUCUUCCAACACUAGACUACCUAAAAACCCUUGCAGAUGCAGAAGAUAAGUGUAUAAUAGAAGGCCACAACUGUACAUUUGUUCGCGACUUCAGUAGAAUUAAACCUUCAGGAAACGCAGAAACACUAGAAUUACUACUGAAAGAAUUUUUUGAAUAUUUUGGAAAUUUCGCAUUCAAUAAAAAUUCCAUUAAUAUUCGACAGGGAAGGGAACAAAACAAACCUGAAUCUUCUCCACUGCACAUUCAGAAUCCUUUUGAAACUUCUCUCAACAUUAGCAAAAAUGUAAGUCAAAGUCAGCUGCAAAAAUUUAUAGAUCUGGCCAGAGAAAGUGCCUGGAUUUUACAUCAGGAAGAUAGAGAUCGCCUUUCGCCAUCUAAUAAUCAGCCCUGGGGGCUGGCAGCCCUGCUGCUACCUUCUGUAGCAAAUAGUACGUCUCUUGCCAAGAAGAAAAAGAAGCCUGCAAGUGAAAGAAUUAAAAACUUGUUGGAAUCCAUAAAAAGUAGCAGUACAGAAAAUUCCACAGCCACCAACGGGUAAAGAGCAGUUAGUACUCAGGCAUAAUGGCUGCUCCUUUGCUUUCAGAACUGGUUUUAUCCUAUAAGAUGAUCUCUGGACUACCUGGAAGAAUGGUGUGAAAUUCUGGCAGAUCACACUUUGCUCGGAUGUCUCUCUUUUCAUGAUCUUCUCAUUGGGCCCCUUAAACUGGUCUGACAUUCUGCGAUGUUUUCAGUCUGAAAGCCAGUGGCACUGUAUUAAAACGCUAGCCAUGGGAACAGGUGAAAGAAGAUUGGAAUGUACUUCAGAUAAAAUAUACAAAGCAAGUGGGAAGAAUCAGUUUUACAGUCAAACCAUUGUUGAAAUCUGCAUCAGUCUCUGGGUGUAAAUCAUUUAGAAGGACUUCUAGAUAUUUGAUUGGACAUUUUCAGUUUUUGGUUGGUGUUAAGUCUAAAAUGGUCAUGUAAGCACAUAAACCCCUUCAGGAGCCGUCGUGGGAGGGGAACACGCAAAACGAUGCCGCGAGGAAGAAACCGUUUCUACCGGAUAUGCUCAGGAGAGGCUGAUGUUCGUCGAGUAGAAUGGGGUCCAGAAGCCGACUCUCAUAUACCUCACAAGAGUAUUUAACAAGGAGGCAAAGUUUAAGUGGCUUAAAGCCAUCAUCAGGAAAUAUCAUCAGGUCAUGCUCUAAGGAAUGGUGGCGCCAGAAGAUGGAAGAAGUCCACAUCCCUGAAUCAUCUGGAAAGCUGCCUACCAAACUCACUGGACAGUUACAUGAAUGAGAAGUUACAGAAGUUCAAGUGGGAUUGUGACUGAGCUAGAAGAGGAGUUCACGAAAAUCUGAGAUAAGGAGAGGACAGGUGGGACCCAACUU